GAUGAACGCUGGCGGCGUGCCUAAUACAUGCAAGUCGGGCGAACGGACGAGAAGCUUGCUUCUCUGAUGUUAGCGGCGGACGGGUGAGUAACACGUGGAUAACCUACCUAUAAGACUGGGAUAACUUCGGGAAACCGGAGCUAAUACCGGAUAAUAUUUUGAACCGCAUGGUUCAAAAGUGAAAGGCGGUCUUGCUGUCACUUAUAGAUGGAUCCGCGCUGCAUUAGCUAGUUGGUAAGGUAACGGCUUACCAAGGCAACGAUGCAUAGCCGACCUGAGAGGGUGAUCGGCCACACUGGAACUGAGACACGGUCCAGACUCCUACGGGAGGCAGCAGUAGGGAAUCUGCCGCAAUGGGCGAAAGCCUGACGGAGCAACGCCGCGUGAGUGAUGAAGGUCUUCGGAUCGUAAAACUCUGUUAUUAGGGAAGAACAUAUGUGUAAGUAACUGUGCACAUCUUGACGGUACCUAAUCAGAAAGCCACGGCUAACUACGUG
RNAcentral lists this ribosomal RNA (497 nucleotides) under uncultured bacterium. RNAcentral describes it as "partial 16S ribosomal RNA". It matches the Rfam family "Bacterial small subunit ribosomal RNA", at positions 28 to 507 of the family's 1533-position model. The record is from RNAcentral.